Vicia faba (fava bean) is the source of this 285-nucleotide non-coding RNA. The record is from the annotation of a GenBank genome assembly. Lineage: Eukaryota; Viridiplantae; Streptophyta; Magnoliopsida; Fabales; Fabaceae.
AUGCGUUUACUUAUUUUUGAUAUAUCACAUACUCAAUUUGUAAUCUUGUUUACAUAUCCCAUUUUGCACUUAUAUAUUUGCCUAAAUAAUAUCCUCUGGAUAGAUUCAUUUUUGAGAAUUACGAAGGUCAAAAUCCCUGUAAUAUUCACAUUUCGACGACCACAUUUUAGUUUUUCUUUCAGAAUACUCGUUUCUUUCACAAGGCUCUUAAAGAGAGACAUAGAAGAAAUUUUAUUAGCACGGAGGAGUCUGAAAGGGGGAUUGUCCAAGGAGUGGAGGAGGUGA